AUACGUAGGUGGCAAGCGUUGUCCGGAAUCAUUGGGCGUAAAGCGCGCGCAGGCGGUCCUUUAAGUCUGAUGUGAAAUCUUGCGGCUCAACCGUAAGCGGUCAUUGGAAACUGGGGGACUUGAGUGCAGGAGAGGAAAGCGGAAUUCCAUGUGUAGCGGUGAAAUGCGUAGAGAUAUGGAGGAACACCAGUGGCGAAGGCGGCUUUCUGGCCUGUAACUGACGCUGAGGCGCGAAAGCGUGGGGAGCAAACAGGAUUAGAUACCCUGGUAGUCCACGCCGUAAACGAUGAGUGCUAAGUGUUGGAGGGUUUCCGCCCUUCAGUGCUGCAGCUAACGCAUUAAGCACUCCGCCUGGGGGGUACGGUCGCAAGACUGAA
RNAcentral lists this ribosomal RNA (377 nucleotides) under uncultured bacterium. RNAcentral's name for it is "bacterial SSU rRNA". It matches the Rfam family "Bacterial small subunit ribosomal RNA", at positions 523 to 898 of the family's 1533-position model. The record is from RNAcentral.